UACGGAGGGUGCAAGCGUUGUCCGGAUUUAUUGGGUUUAAAGGGUGCGUAGGUGGCGGGCUAAGUCCGGGGUGAAAGCCCACAGCUCAACUGUGGAACUGCCCUGGAUACUGGCUGGCUUGAGUCCAGACGAGGGUGGCGGAAUGGACGCUGUAGCGGUGAAAUGCAUAGAUAGCGUCCAGAACCCCGAUUGCGUAGGCAGCUGCCUAGACUGGUACUGACACUGAGGCACGAAAGCGUGGGGAGCGAACAGG
RNAcentral lists this ribosomal RNA (253 nucleotides) under uncultured bacterium. RNAcentral's name for it is "partial 16S ribosomal RNA". It matches the Rfam family "Bacterial small subunit ribosomal RNA", at positions 524 to 776 of the family's 1533-position model. The record is from RNAcentral.